GCUCGGGUCUCGAAAAACAAACCUGUUGCCUCGUCCAGCAGCGCACGGGGCCGCGGUGAUUUCCCCGAAGCGGGGUGCAGUGAGUCACUGCCCAGGGGCGAGGGAAAACACAAACCACGGCAUCUGCACGGAGGGCAGGACACAUCAGCACGGGCUCGUGAUGAGGUGGGACGGGUACAGGACCCCCGGGGACAGGACCAGCACCCCCUGAGCCCACCCAGGGCGGGAUUUUCUCCAGCAGCUCGUCACGGCAGGCUGCUGCACGUCCCCCUUCGCCCAGCAACCGCAGCCUGCCCCCGUUCAGCAUCGCGUCGCAGCGCUGGGGACCCGGCUGCCCCGUUAGUUUCGGGGAGGGGAAGGAAAGCUUUGAACUCCACGGAAAGCAAAAAGCUCCCCGCCGGGGCCCCAGGCUCCGAGAGCAUCGGCACCAGCUCAGCCGGUCCCCCCGCAGCCCUGGACUUUGGAACAGCAGAUCCGGCCUUUUCUCGUUUCCUCCUUCCAGGAGGAACCUCUCAGUGAUGAAAACGAGCAGGGCCGGCUACUGCCCUCAGCCUGCCUGCGGAAACCAGAGGCCACGCUCUCCCCUCGUCCCCUCCACGCUUCGGUUCCGCACCCAAAGCCCCCGGGACCAGGCAGCAGCC
Long non-coding RNA from Oxyura jamaicensis (ruddy duck), 641 nucleotides. RefSeq lists it as uncharacterized. The transcript is spliced from 2 exons. Lineage: Eukaryota; Metazoa; Chordata; Aves; Anseriformes; Anatidae. The record is from RefSeq and is a predicted model, not a curated record.